This 85-nucleotide transfer RNA is filed under the name Felis catus (domestic cat). It matches the Rfam family "tRNA". From Rfam's summary of the family: Transfer RNA (tRNA) molecules are approximately 80 nucleotides in length. The record is from Rfam by way of RNAcentral. Lineage: Eukaryota; Metazoa; Chordata; Mammalia; Carnivora; Felidae.
GCCUGGGUGGCUCAGUCGGUUGAGCGACUGACUUCAGCUCAGGUCACGAUCUUGCGAUCCGUGAGUUCGAGCCCCGCGUCGGGCU